Molecule: unclassified non-coding RNA, 200 nt
Filed under: Rhodoveronaea sp.
Lineage: Eukaryota; Fungi; Ascomycota; Sordariomycetes
Description: partial internal transcribed spacer 2
Source: RNAcentral
UUAAGUUCAGCGGGUAUUCCUACCUGAUUCGAGGUCAACCUUUGUAAAAAUUGGUGGUUUAACGGCUGAUAGAUCACCAGACGUCCUAGGCGAGAAGGAAACUACUGCGCCCGGAGUGCUGGCGAGCACCGCCACUGUUUUUCGGGGCCUACGUAUGCCGUAGGUGCCCCAACGCCAGGCAGCCGAGGGCCUGAGGGUUG